CCGCUCAUGGUCUAGCAGGAUUAUGACGUCCGACUGUAAUGGAAACAAUUCAUCGGAAGGUGGCUGGUUCGAUUCCAGUUGAGCGGA
Transfer RNA from Talaromyces islandicus, 87 nucleotides. It matches the Rfam family "tRNA". From Rfam's summary of the family: Transfer RNA (tRNA) molecules are approximately 80 nucleotides in length. Their secondary structure includes four short double-helical elements and three loops (D, anti-codon, and T loops). NCBI's taxonomy places the organism in Eukaryota, Fungi, Ascomycota, Eurotiomycetes, Eurotiales, Trichocomaceae. The record is from Rfam.